CUCCUGGAACAAUACUGACGCUAAGGCGUGAAAGCGUGGGGAGCAAACGGGAUUAGAUACCCCGGUAGUCCACGCCCUAAACGAUGUUCACUAGUCGUCGGAAUGCUAGUCAUUUCGGUGAUGCACUUAACAGAUUAAGUGAACCGCCUGGGGAGUACGGUCGCAAGAUUAAAACUCAAAGGAAUAGACGGGGACCCGCACAAGUGGUGGAGCAUGUGGUUUAAUUCGAAGAUACGCGAAGAGCCUUACCUAGCCUUGACAUUGAAAGAACACCCUAGAGAUAGAGUGGUGCCCUUCGGGGAGCUUGAAAACAGGUGCUGCACGGCUGUCGUCAGCUCGUGUCGUGAGAUGUUGGGUUAAGUCCCGCAACGAGCGCAACCCUCGUCCUUAGUUGCCAGCAGUUCGGCUGGGCACUCUAAGGAGACUGCCUUCGCAAGGAGGAGGAAGGUGAGGACGACGUCAAGUCAUCAUGGCCCUUAUGGCUAGGGCUACACACGUGCUACAAUGGGGCGUACAGAGAGUUGCGAUACCGCGAGGUGGAGCCAAUCUCAUAAAGCGUCUCUCAGUUCGGAUUGGAGUCUGCAACUCGACUCCAUGAAGCUGGAAUCACUAGUAAUCGUAGAUCAGCAAUGCUACGGUGAAUACGUUCCCGGGUCUUGUACUCACCGCCCGUCACACCAUGGGAGUUGAUUUCACCCGAAAUUGGGAAGCUAACCUUCGGGAGGCUACCACUU
This 734-nucleotide ribosomal RNA is filed under the name uncultured bacterium. RNAcentral describes it as "bacterial SSU rRNA". It matches the Rfam family "Bacterial small subunit ribosomal RNA", at positions 726 to 1458 of the family's 1533-position model. The record is from RNAcentral.